UUUGUAGUCAUAUGCUUGUCUCAAAGAUUAAGCCAUGCAUGUCUAAGUAUAAGCAACUUGUACAGUGAAACUGCGAAUGGCUCAUUAAAUCAGUUAUCGUUUAUUUGAUAAUCCCUUACUACAUGGAUACCUGUGGUAAUUCUAGAGCUAAUACAUGCUUCAAGGAGUGGCUUUCGUCACUCUGCACUUAUUAGAUAAAAAACCAAUGCCCCUUUGGGGCUCCCUGGUGAUUCAUAAUAAUUUAGCGGACCGCAUUCCCUCGAGGAGGCGGUGGAUCAUUCAAAUUUCUGCCCUAUCAACUUUCGAUGGUAGGAUAGUGGCCUACCAUGGUUUCAACGGGUAACGGGGAAUAA
This 353-nucleotide ribosomal RNA is filed under the name uncultured Ascobolus. RNAcentral describes it as "SSU rRNA". It matches the Rfam family "Eukaryotic small subunit ribosomal RNA", at positions 21 to 372 of the family's 1831-position model. Lineage: Eukaryota; Fungi; Ascomycota; Pezizomycetes; Pezizales; Ascobolaceae. The record is from RNAcentral.